CCCUUAGAUGUUCUGGGCCGCACGCGCGCUACACUGACGAAUGCAACGAGCUUAUAACCUUGGCCGAAAGGUCUGGGUAAUCUCCAAAUUUCGUCGUGAUGGGGAUAGAUUAUUGCAAUUAUGGGUCUUCAACGAGGAAUUCCUAGUAAACGCAAGUCAUCAGCUUGCAUUGAUUACGUCCCUGCCCUUUGUACACACCGCCCGUCGCACCUACCGAUUGAAUGGUCCGGUGAAAUCUCGGGACGGCGGCUUGGUCGCUUGCGUCCGACUGCUGAAACUUGAUUAAACCAUAUCAUUUAGAGGAAGGUGAANUCGUAACA
Molecule: ribosomal RNA, 320 nt
Filed under: uncultured eukaryote
Lineage: Eukaryota
Description: partial 18S ribosomal RNA
Rfam family: Eukaryotic small subunit ribosomal RNA
Source: RNAcentral